GUAAGUGGUUCCCCUGGCAACCAGCACAGCAACCGGUAACCAGGAAGGGCCCCUAGAGCCAGGAGGGACACGGACGCUGCUGGCCCUGGUGGCUCAGGUGCCGUUAGAGGGGCCUCUCCCGGCCUGUGGCUCCCUGCGGCCCCGCUCUGCUCGCCUCCUGUGCUCUGCGCCUGCUCUGCCCUGGGUCCAGCGAGCCUGCCGCCCCCUGGCUGGCGAUCCCAGUGGCCUGAGAGCGGGCAGGGUGUCGCCAGCUCCGGGUGUUUCCCUCGUGUGCGAGGAAACAUAUCCAGGACAAAGUGGACAAAGUGGGUCGCAGGAAGAAAGAGUGACAGGCCAGGGGGCCCUCUGGUAACAGGUGCAGGAGCAGGGAUUCCACGUCUUCCUUCCAUCCUGGUCCCUUUCCAUUCCGCCUCACCAUAGCGGAAAGGGUGGGGGGGUCUUCCCGGGGACCCCACCCUGGGUCAGUGGCAGGAGGAUGCGCCCACUGGGCUGGUGGCAGAGAUUCGGAAAUCCUGGGCAGGAAUGUAGCGCCUGAAUCUCCCUUUCGAGAGUCUAUUUCUUUUCUUUCCACAGCUUCUUCUACCCCGCCCCCCCCCCCACUAGGGAACUGAACCCAGGGCCUUUGCACGGGGCUGCAGCCCCAGGCUUUUUUGUGUCUUCAUUUUGAGAUGGGAGGGGUCUUACCAAGUCACCCAGGCUGGGAUCAAAUUUGUGAUCUUCCUGUCUCAGUCUCCCAGCGUGCUGGAAUCAUAGGUGUGGGCCAGCCACCACGUGUGGAUUAGUUUCCUUUUUAUUAAACAAAUAUUUGUUCUGCUCUAGUGUUCUCUGGAGACUGACUGUCCUUGGGGAAACCCCAGGACUCAGGAUGUGAGGUUCAGACUCAGGCUACUGGGCCCGAGGCAUCACCCGGAAGGGGGCAGUGGGAACCGGGCGCACGGGGGAGCUGAGAAGCCCCAGGGGCAGCGCCAGGCACCCCAGAGCCCAUUGCUCCCCGCCCCACUUAGCCGUGACGUCCCCUUAACCGUCAGCCCCACCCUCUUACCAGGCCUUGUAGUCAGGUAGUUUCCCCUGCUCAACAAAUCAUGGGCGCCACGGGCUGGAACGAGCCCUGAGCUAGGUCCCAACCAAAAUGGAGUCACUCGUGCUAAGUAAGCUCCCGGGCACCAAGCGAGGCCCAGGAGGUCCACAUGUGGAGAAGUCAGGAGCUCAGUGGCAGCCAGAUCCCAGGAAGGGCAGCGGCUUGGAACCGCCUUUUGCUCCCGCCGGCUGCUCCUCAGCCCUUUGCAACUGUGAAGCCGCGCUCUCAGCGGGUCUCGGGCUGUUGCAUACACUGGAUGCUGCCUGGUUCUUGCACUGCUACUGAAAGCGAAUGAGUUUCCCCGCGGGAUCCUGAGAUCAGCAGCACGGGACGACGGCGCCCCCUGGCGGCAGGUCGGAUCUCCGUAUGCUCUAGGCCUGGCCGGGCAGGCGGGCGGCGUGGGCCUCGCAGCGACGUGUUGGAAGGAACGCUGCUUCCAGGGUCAGGAGCCUGGGCGGGAAGCGCUAAGAUUGGUAGCUGUCAUCCCAGUACUCAGGAGGCCAAGGCAGGAGGAUGGAUGCAAAUUUAAGGCCAGUGCUAUGUAGCAGGUUCAAGGCCAGCCUGAACGACACAGCGAGACCCUGUUUCAAAACAAAAGCAAAAACAGAAACAGAUUUGGGACUGGCAGUUCCCAAGCCCUGGCCCUUCCUGUAGGAGGGGCUGGAGGAGGCUGGGAGGCUGGCGCAGGUGACCUGCUCCCCUGGGUCCUGCCUGUUCCUGCAGCAGAAGCGGUUCACAGGAUUCCCACACCGGAAGAGCCAACUUCAUCACCCCUACCUAGAAAGUUUGGUGGCUGCCACAUCCCAAGGGAGAAGGCCAGGGAGGAGAAAGUGACAGUGGCAGCCCCUCUAGCACACAGCUCCCAUGCCUAUGACCCUGCGGUCUGCACCUCUUCUGGCCUGACUUGCCGCCCCCCCACCCCCACCCCAUGACCCCAGGAGGAGGCCUGGGGCCUGGCCCAGUGUGAGCAGGGCUGGGCCAGCUGGGCAGACAGAGGAGAGGAACUCAGGUUGGAGACACCAGGCCUGGAGAGACCUUCUGUUGCCCACUCGUGUCUCCCCACUGAUUAAACCUCUUCUCGGAGUGUUCAGGGGAACCCAAGAAAGGGAAGGAAAGACAAGGGGCCCAGCCCUGGCUGAGGACCGCCAUGCGGCAGGACAGCACGGGGACCCUGCAGGUCCGUGUGCCCUCAGGGCCCGCUUGGCCGCUCCUGUGGGCUCUCGGGUGGGAGCAGGCAGCCGCAGGCAGGAUCGAGACAGCCCCUGCUGUCCUUCAUGUUCGUUUUGUGUUCAGGGAAACCCCAUGGCAUUCUGGUUCCUGUUUUGAUGGUUUUUAGAGCUUUUCUGAGGCACAGCUGAUACAGUCGCACUGCUUUUCAGUGUGGACCCUGGUGACUCAGUUCCCACACUCACAGGACUGAACUUAUGGAUCACCUCCAAGAAUUUCCCCGCAUAUGUGCGCGCGCAUGUGUGUGUGUACCCAUGCGUGUUUCCGUGUAAGAACACAACAGAUUUUAAACCGUUUAAAGGGGCACAGCCCUGUUGUCACCAACAGGCCCCAUGUUGUGCUGCUGCAGAUUUCUCCACCUCCCCAACUCCCGGCAGCCCCUGUCCUCGCCCCUGCCUCUGUGUGACCGACUCUUGGAUCCCCGUACAAGUGGCAUCGUGCGGUAAUUUAAUUGUCCUCUGCAUCUGGCUCAUGUCACUGAGCGGAAGGACCUCUAGGUUUUCCACUUUGUUGCGGUUGGCAGGAUCCCUUCUUUUUUAGGGAACGAUGCCCCCUUGUAUGUAUGCACCGCGCUUUCUUUAUCCAUUCAUCUGCUGCUGGACACGUGGGUCACGUCCAUAUCUUGCUUAUUGUGAAUAUGGAAAAAUACAGUUUCAGUACACGAAGACACACUGCAAUGUACUCUGUUGACAGAAGGGAUAGCUGUGGCCGGGGAUUUAGCUCAGUGGUUUCGCCGCCUGCUGCGCAAGCACAAGGACCCAAGUCCUGCCCGAGGACCCCUCUUCCACCGCCCCAGCUUCACGGGGGUCCUGUCCCCUCCCCGACACCGGGUUCCGGUUCAUACCGGUUCAUACCGGUUCAUACCACUUCACAGCAGAUUCUGCUCUGCUGGGGACUGGACACGACCUGCUUUCCUGGCUCUCUCUGCACCACCUCGAACCUCGUUGGUGGCCAGCACCAGCAGUUGUCCUGUGACUCUGUACCACCCUCGCUCUGAGCAGGGCCCUGGGCAUGGUCCGAGGAAGCGCCCUGCGGGUCUCGGGUCUUGGGAGCAAGCGCCUUCCUCACCUGCCCAUGAGUCUGAGGCGACGCCGCAGUGCAGCAGCUGGCGGCCUUCACUGUCGCCUCCACCUGG
RNAcentral lists this long non-coding RNA (3440 nucleotides) under Heterocephalus glaber (naked mole-rat). RNAcentral describes it as "lncRNA (ENSHGLG00100048911.1)". Lineage: Eukaryota; Metazoa; Chordata; Mammalia; Rodentia; Bathyergidae. The record is from RNAcentral.